This 958-nucleotide ribosomal RNA is filed under the name Cytobacillus firmus. Its description in RNAcentral is "bacterial SSU rRNA". It matches the Rfam family "Bacterial small subunit ribosomal RNA", at positions 46 to 989 of the family's 1533-position model. The record is from RNAcentral. Lineage: Bacteria; Bacillati; Bacillota; Bacilli; Caryophanales; Bacillaceae.
GCCUAUGGUGCCGUCGCGCGAAUCUGAGGGAGCUUGGUCCCAAAGAUUAGCGGCGGACGGGUGAGUAACACGUGGGCAACCUGCCUGUAAGACUGGGAUAACUUCGGGAAACCGGAGCUAAUACCGGAUAAUCCCAUUCCUCACAUGAGGAAAGGCUGAAAGACGGUUUCGGCUGUCACUUACAGAUGGGCCCGCGGCGCAUUAGCUAGUUGGUGAGGUAACGGCUCACCAAGGCCACGAUGCGUAGCCGACCUGAGAGGGUGAUCGGCCACACUUGGACUGAAACACGGCCCAAACUCCUACGGGAGGCAGCAGUAGGGAAUCUUCCGCAAUGGACGAAAGUCUGACGGAGCAACGCCGCGUGAGUGAUGAAGGUUUUCGGAUCGUAAAACUCUGUUGUUAGGGAAGAAGAAGUAUCGGAGUAACUGCCGGUACCUUGACGGAACCUAACCACAAAGCCACGGCUAACUACGUGCCAGCAGCCGCGGUAAUACGUAGGUGGCAAGCGUUGUCCGGAAUUAUUGGGCGUAAUGCGCGCGCAGGUGGUUCCCUAAGUCUGAUGUGAAAGCCCACGGCUCAACCGUGGAGGGUCAUUGGAAACUGGGGAACUUGAGUGCAGAAGAGGAAAGUGGAAUUCCAAGUGUAGCGGUGAAAUGCGUAGAGAUUUGGAGGAACACCAGUGGCGAAGGCGACUUUCUGGUCUGUAACUGACACUGAGGCGCGAAAGCGUGGGGAGCGAACAGGAUUAGAUACCCUGGUAGUCCACGCCGUAAACGAUGAGUGCUAAGUGUUAGAGGGUUUCCGCCCUUUAGUGCUGCAGCAAACGCAUUAAGCACUCCGCCUGGGGAGUACGACCGCAAGGUUGAAACUCAAAGGAAUUGUCGGGGGCCCGCACAAGCCGUGGAGCAUGUGGUUUAAUUCGAAGCAACGCGAAGAACCUUACCAGGUCUUGACAUCC